Long non-coding RNA from Ziziphus jujuba (common jujube), 1062 nucleotides. RefSeq lists it as uncharacterized. Lineage: Eukaryota; Viridiplantae; Streptophyta; Magnoliopsida; Rosales; Rhamnaceae. The record is from RefSeq and is a predicted model, not a curated record. The transcript is spliced from 3 exons.
CUUGCACUGACAAGGCAAGACCACCAGACUCCCCAGUUGACGCUUUUGAAAGUCCUCCAUCCAUCCAUCCACUCUCCCUCUUCUCCUUUUUCUCUCAUUUUUCCGAAAACCGAGUCCAACUUGUCGGAUUCGCAGACGGAGGCAAAGCCUAACUCUCUCAGGGCCUAGCUUGCACUCAUAAGAUAAAAGUGAUGGACUUUAUUUGACGAAUAAACAAAAAUAAAAAAUAAAAAAGAAUGAGAUUUCAACAUGAAUAUAAGGUUGACUCUUUGAGCGAAAUUCAUUAAAUCAUUUCUUGCGUCAUCUUGUACAUCAUUAUACAUGUCAUACAUACAUAAUCAUUACGUCAUUAUAUCUUAAAUGACAUAUUUUUCUCUCGCAACUUGGGUUGAGUUGGGGGCGGAGAGGGAAAAAUGGAACUACAUAUGUUAAGAACCUUCAACCCUUGUUUCUUUUUUCUUUUUUUUUUUUUCUUUUUUUUUCUUUUUUUUUGGUGGGUGAAUAAGAACCUUCAACCCUUUAACAAAGGAAGGUUUAUAACUUAUUGUAUAUUCUAAUAUUAUCCUUACUUCUUCCUCUUCUUCUUCUUCUUCUUCUUCUUCUUCUUCUUCUAAUAAAUUGUAUGUGCGUGUAUGAAGGUGGAUUGUUUUCUUGCUCCUAAGAUUUCUUUUUAAAGCAAUAAAUGAGCUUUCAAUGUUCUUUUCAAUUACGUGUCACAGUGCUAUUUAUUAUCACUUUUAUCAUAUUAUUAUUGACAUUGGCUGCAGCUGCUACGAUUUACUUAUUGCAGGACUCCAGGUGUAGAUUUUGAAUUUUGUACUGAUUCUUUCAAAAAUAAGUGAUGUCAUCUUCAAACUGAAUAAAGCCAAAAAAGUUCUCAACAAGCCUAGAAUUUAGUUUGAUACAUUUCUAUAUGCAUCUUGAUACUCUUAUCGGAAACAAUCCUAUUUUACAAAUUAAGAAUGGUUUGGAUUUGGCUAGCUAGCUCACUAUCUAACCAGGAAAAAUAAAAAAUUUGAAAUCUUACUAUAUCUAAAGUCAUGCCUGGCGUUUUCAUCAGAG